This 393-nucleotide ribosomal RNA is filed under the name uncultured bacterium. RNAcentral describes it as "partial 16S ribosomal RNA". It matches the Rfam family "Bacterial small subunit ribosomal RNA", at positions 523 to 918 of the family's 1533-position model. The record is from RNAcentral.
AUACGGAGGAUGCGAGCGUUAUCCGGAUUUAUUGGGUUUAAAGGGAGCGUAGGUGGGAUAUUAAGUCAGCUGUGAAAGUUUGGGGCUCAACCUUAAAAUUGCAGUUGAUACUGGUUUCCUUGAGUACGGUACAGGUGGGCGGAAUUCGUGGUGUAGCGGUGAAAUGCUUAGAUAUCACGAAGAACUCCGAUCGCGAAGGCAGCUCACCGGGCCGGAACUGACACUGAUGCUCGAAAGUGCGGGUAUCAAACAGGAUUAGAUACCCUGGUAGUCCGCACAGUAAACGAUGAAUACUCGCUGUUUGCGAUACACUGUAAGCGGCCAAGUGAAAGCGUUAAGUAUUCCACCUGGGGAGUACGCCGGCAACGGUGAAACUCAAAUGAAUUGACGGGG